This is a long non-coding RNA of Cyprinus carpio carpio, 555 nucleotides long. Lineage: Eukaryota; Metazoa; Chordata; Actinopteri; Cypriniformes; Cyprinidae. The record is from Ensembl.
UCACCACUCCUGCCAUAGAUGAUCUCCACGUCUUCCUCGUCUGGUCUCGUCUCUCUGUGUAUGAGGACUUACCUGUCUUCAAUCAGUCUUCCCUAAAACCUCCACUACACACCUGUCAGCACCUGUAACAAACAACUGUUUAUGCUCAAGUGUCAGAGAUCAGAAUGACGAGGAGGAAGGAGGCGACGGUCACACUGAGAGAGAGAGAGAGAGAGAGAGAGAGAAACAGGAAAACAUGACAGGGAUCCGACUGGAAAAGGGUGUGACACGAGCGGCCCUGAGCCAGAUGUGAAGAGAUGAGAUGAGUUUUCAAUAUAGUACAAAAGAUUUCCAAUACAGCUCCCAGAGAUGAGCAGCAUCAGGCCCAGAAUAUCUCCUCCUCACACAAGAUUAAACACGAGCACAGAAGCACAAAUGAUGAUUCAUUUUCUUAUCCACAUUGUUUGUGUUUGUGGUGAAGUUGAUCGUGUUUACCCCGGAACAAAGGGAAAAUGAACAAAGGCUUUGUUCAAAUACCUGGAUGACCUGAAGCCAAUCACACUUUGCAAAAGAGAC